CCUACGGGAGGCAGCAGUGAGGAAUAUUGGUCAAUGGGCGUAAGCCUGAACCAGCCAAGCCGCGUGAGGGAAGACUGCCCUAUGGGUUGUAAACCUCUUUUGUCAGGGAGCAACGCCGGCUACGUGUAGCCGGACUGAGAGUACCUGAAAGAAAAGCAUCGCCUAACUCCGUGCCAGCCGCCGCGGUAAUACGGAGGAUGCGGGGGUUAUCCGAAUUUAUGGGGUUUAAAGGGUGCGUAGGCGGAAUGCCAAGUCAGGGGGAAAAUCGCGGGGCUCAACCUGGCUCUGCCGUUGAAACUGGCGUUCUUGAGUGGGCGAGAGGUAUGCGGAAUGCGUGGUGUAGCGGUGAAAUGCAUAGAGAUCACGCAGAACACCGAUUGCGAAGGCAGCAUACCGGCGCCCAACUGACGCUGAAGCACGAAAGCGUGGGGAUCGAACAGGAUUAGAUACCCGAGUAGUC
RNAcentral lists this ribosomal RNA (460 nucleotides) under uncultured bacterium. RNAcentral describes it as "partial 16S ribosomal RNA". It matches the Rfam family "Bacterial small subunit ribosomal RNA", at positions 338 to 795 of the family's 1533-position model. The record is from RNAcentral.